AGGGUUUUCUUCUUUUUUUUUUCUUGGUUUUCAUCUCAUCAAAUCAAGGAUACAGCUUCCCAUUUCGCCAUUUUUGCGUUUAUUCGUGUCCUUCUGAGUGAAACUUAUGCAUGAACAGGGUCUUUGUUUUUCCUCAGAAAGUUAGAAGACACUUUCAGUUUUGAAGUAUUAUAUGUGCUAAGAUGGGGUGUUUCACAGUCUUGAAGAGCAAGAAGAAAAAGCCCGAGCCAUCGGUUUCCAUCAAACGUGUAAGUCCUAAGGAGCAAACGCCAACCAUACUACCUGAGCCCCAGAUCCCAACUCGGUCAUUGCAGUCUGCACCCCCUAGUUUUAGGACAAGAGUGAAACCUGUUCAACCCGAUAACAGGGUAUCUAACAGUAGAGCACGAGCAAUGUCAGCUCCAGAAAGCCUUGAUGCUGCA
RNAcentral lists this unclassified non-coding RNA (422 nucleotides) under Hevea brasiliensis (rubber tree). The record is from RNAcentral. Lineage: Eukaryota; Viridiplantae; Streptophyta; Magnoliopsida; Malpighiales; Euphorbiaceae.